GAGGGGAUAGCUCAGUGGUAGAGUGCAUGUUUAGCAUGCAUGAGGUCCUGGGUUCAAUCCCCAGUACCGCCA
Molecule: transfer RNA, 72 nt
Filed under: Camelus dromedarius (Arabian camel)
Lineage: Eukaryota; Metazoa; Chordata; Mammalia; Artiodactyla; Camelidae
Also listed under: 1 other name
Rfam family: tRNA
About the family: Transfer RNA (tRNA) molecules are approximately 80 nucleotides in length.
Source: Rfam by way of RNAcentral